GAGCGGCGGACGGGUGAGUAACGCGUGGGUAACCUGCCUCAUACAGGGGGAUAACAGUUAGAAAUGACUGCUAAUACCGCAUAAGACCACGGUACCGCAUGGUACAGUGGUAAAAACUCCGGUGGUAUGAGAUGGACCCGCGUCUGAUUAGGUAGUUGGUGGGGUAACGGCCUACCAAGCCGACGAUCAGUAGCCGACCUGAGAGGGUGACCGGCCACAUUGGGACUGAGAUACGGCCCAGACUCCUACGGGAGGCAGCAGUGGGGAAUUUUGCGCAAUGGGGGCAACCCUGACGCAGCAACGCCGCGUGCGGGACGAAGGCGUCCGCGUCGUAAACCGCUUUCAGCGGGGAACACCAAUCGAGGGUACCCGCAGAAGAAGCCCCGGCUAAAUACGUGCCAGCAGCCGCGGUAAUACGUAUGGGGCGAGCGUUAUCCGGAUUCAUUGGGCGUAAAGCGCGCGUAGGCGGAGCGCUAAGCGGGACCUCUAACCCGAGGGCUCAACCCCCGGCCGGGUCCCGAACUGGCGCUCUCGAGUGCGGUAGGGGAGAGCGGAAUUCCCGGUGUAGCGGUGGAAUGCGCAGAUAUCGGGAAGAACACCGACGGCGAAGGCAGCUCUCUGGGCCGAAACUGACGCUGAGGCGCGAAAGCUGGGGGAGCGAACAGGAUUAGAUACCCUGGUAGUCCCAGCCGUAAACGAUGGGCGCUAGGUGUGGGGGGAGCAGAUCCCCCGUGCCGCAGCCAACGCAUUAAGCGCCCCGCCUGGGGAGUACGGCCGCAAGGGGUAAAACUCAAAGGAAAUUGAUGGGGGCCCGCACAAGCAGCGGAGCAUGUGGGUUUAAUUGGAAAGCAACGCGAAGAACCUUACCAGGGCUUGACAUGCAAGGGUGAAGCGGCGGAGACGCUGUGGCCGAGAGGAGCCUGCACAGGUGGUGCAUGGCUGUCGUCAGCCCGUGUCGUGAGAUGUUGGGUUAAGUCCCGCAACGAGCGCAACCCCUGCCCCGUGUUGCCAGCAUUCAGUUGGGGACUCGCGGGGGACUGCCGGCGUCAAGCCGGAGGAAGGUGGGGACGACGUCAAGUCAUCAUGCCCCUUAUGCCCUGGGCCGCACACGUGCUACAAUGGCCGGUACAGAGGGUUGCGACCCCGCGAGGGGGAGCGGAUCCCGCAAAGCCGGCCCCAGUUCGGAUCGGAGGCUGCAACCCGCCUCCGUGAAGCCGGAGUUGCUAGUAAUCGCGGAUCAGCACGCCGCGGUGAAUACGUUCCCGGGCCUUGCACACACCGCCCGUCA
RNAcentral lists this ribosomal RNA (1288 nucleotides) under uncultured bacterium. Its description in RNAcentral is "bacterial SSU rRNA". It matches the Rfam family "Bacterial small subunit ribosomal RNA", at positions 93 to 1399 of the family's 1533-position model. The record is from RNAcentral.